RNAcentral lists this long non-coding RNA (626 nucleotides) under Elaeis guineensis (African oil palm). RNAcentral describes it as "long non-coding RNA (EGUI_LNC069993)". Lineage: Eukaryota; Viridiplantae; Streptophyta; Magnoliopsida; Arecales; Arecaceae. The record is from RNAcentral.
UAGAGAAGAAAAAUUUUUUCCAAUGAAAAAAAGAGAAGGAAGAAGAUGGGUCUUUUUUCUUGUGCGCAGUCUUGAAGAAGAAGGGGUUCUUCUUUCAAUUUUUUUUUUAUUUUUUUUUAAGAUAAAAAUCAGAUUGAAACUAAUUUUUAACAUGAAGAUUUAAAGAAAAAAUACUAAAAGAAUUUGAUUGGAUGUUCGGGGCUUCUUAGAGUUCUAGAUCAAGGAGAAAAAGAGAGAAGAAGAGAGAAGAACGGUUCUUCUCUUGGGUUUCUCUUUUGAAUUUUUCUAAGACUCAAGAUCUUAUAUGAUUUUUAGCCUAAAAGAUUAGAUUAGAUUUAAUUUUUAUCAUAAAAAAUUAAAGAAGAAAAGUUCUUCUUAAGGAUAUAAAAGGAAGAGAGAAAGGUUCUCUCUUAUGUGUGGGAGAAUUGAGAAGAAAUGGUCUUUUUCUUGAUCUCUAUUGUAUAGAUCUGAUGUAUGGAUCUAAAAAGAAAAGGAGAGGAUCUCCUUAGUCUUCAUCUUCUUUGUGAUUCCUCUGAGAUCAGCCAACGUAUGAUGUCUUCACAAGCUAGCACACCCGGAAAAAUCGAUCAGCACAAAGAUUUCGUGUGGAUACCCAUAGAGACCAG